RNAcentral lists this ribosomal RNA (1483 nucleotides) under uncultured bacterium. Its description in RNAcentral is "bacterial SSU rRNA". It matches the Rfam family "Bacterial small subunit ribosomal RNA". The record is from RNAcentral.
GACGAGCGCUGGCGGCGUGCCUAAUACAUGCAAGUCGAACGCUUCUUUCCUCCCGAGUGCUUGCACUCAAUUGGAAAGAGGAGUGGCGGACGGGUGAGUAACACGUGGGUAACCUACCCAUCAGAGGGGGAUAACACUUGGAAACAGGUGCUAAUACCGCAUAACAGUUUAUGCCGCAUGGCAUAAGAGUGAAAGGCGCUUUCGGGUGUCGCUGAUGGAUGGACCCGCGGUGCAUUAGCUAGUUGGUGAGGUAACGGCUCACCAAGGCCACGAUGCAUAGCCGACCUGAGAGGGUGAUCGGCCACACUGGGACUGAGACACGGCCCAGACUCCUACGGGAGGCAGCAGUAGGGAAUCUUCGGCAAUGGACGAAAGUCUGACCGAGCAACGCCGCGUGAGUGAAGAAGGUUUUCGGAUCGUAAAACUCUGUUGUUAGAGAAGAACAAGGACGUUAGUAACUGAACGUCCCCUGACGGUAUCUAACCAGAAAGCCACGGCUAACUACGUGCCAGCAGCCGCGGUAAUACGUAGGUGGCAAGCGUUGUCCGGAUUUAUUGGGCGUAAAGCGAGCGCAGGCGGUUUCUUAAGUCUGAUGUGAAAGCCCCCGGCUCAACCGGGGAGGGUCAUUGGAAACUGGGAGACUUGAGUGCAGAAGAGGAGAGUGGAAUUCCAUGUGUAGCGGUGAAAUGCGUAGAUAUAUGGAGGAACACCAGUGGCGAAGGCGGCUCUCUGGUCUGUAACUGACGCUGAGGCUCGAAAGCGUGGGGAGCAAACAGGAUUAGAUACCCUGGUAGUCCACGCCGUAAACGAUGAGUGCUAAGUGUUGGAGGGUUUCCGCCCUUCAGUGCUGCAGCAAACGCAUUAAGCACUCCGCCUGGGGAGUACGACCGCAAGGUUGAAACUCAAAGGAAUUGACGGGGGCCCGCACAAGCGGUGGAGCAUGUGGUUUAAUCCGAAGCAACGCGAAGAACCUUACCAGGUCUUGACAUCCUUUGACCACUCUAGAGAUAGAGCUUUCCCUUCGGGGACAAAGUGACAGGUGGUGCAUGGUUGUCGUCAGCUCGUGUCGUGAGAUGUUGGGUUAAGUCCCGCAACGAGCGCAACCCUUAUUGUUAGUUGCCAUCAUUUAGUUGGGCACUCUAGCGAGACUGCCGGUGACAAACCGGAGGAAGGUGGGGAUGACGUCAAAUCAUCAUGCCCCUUAUGACCUGGGCUACACACGUGCUACAAUGGGAAGUACAACGAGUCGCUAGACCGCGAGGUCAUGCAAAUCUCUUAAAGCUUCUCUCAGUUCGGAUUGCAGGCUGCAACUCGCCUGCAUGAAGCCGGAAUCGCUAGUAAUCGCGGAUCAGCACGCCGCGGUGAAUACGUUCCCGGGCCUUGUACACACCGCCCGUCACACCACGAGAGUUUGUAACACCCGAAGUCGGUGAGGUAACCUUUUUGGAGCCAGCCGCCUAAGGUGGGAUAGAUGAUUGGGGUG